CAGCCGCCGCGGUAAUACGGAGGGUGCGAGCGUUGUUCGGAUUUACUGGGCGUAAAGGGCGCGUAGGCGGUUUGGCAAGUCAGGUGUGAAAUCCUUCCGCUCAACGGAAGAAGUGCACUUGAAACUGCCAAGCUAGAGUAUGGGAGAGGAGAGCGGAAUUCCCGGUGUAGAGGUGAAAUUCGUAGAUAUCGGGAGGAACACCCGUGGCGAAGGCGGCUCUCUGGCCCGUUCCUGACGCUGAGACCCGAAAGCGGGGGGAGCAAACCGGAUUAGAUCCCCGGGUAGUCCACGCCGUAAACGGUGGGCACUAGGUGUGGGGGGUUAAUCCCUCCGUGCCGAAGCUAACGCAUUAAGUGCCCCGCCUGGGGAGUACGGCCGCAAGGUUGAAACUUAAAGGAAUUGGCGGG
RNAcentral lists this ribosomal RNA (407 nucleotides) under uncultured microorganism. RNAcentral describes it as "bacterial SSU rRNA". It matches the Rfam family "Bacterial small subunit ribosomal RNA", at positions 509 to 917 of the family's 1533-position model. The record is from RNAcentral.